This 561-nucleotide ribosomal RNA is filed under the name Klebsiella pneumoniae. RNAcentral's name for it is "partial 23S ribosomal RNA". It matches the Rfam family "Bacterial large subunit ribosomal RNA", at positions 911 to 1474 of the family's 2925-position model. The record is from RNAcentral. Lineage: Bacteria; Pseudomonadati; Pseudomonadota; Gammaproteobacteria; Enterobacterales; Enterobacteriaceae.
UGUUUCGGCUAGGGGGUCAUCCCGACUUACCAACCCGAUGCAAACUACGAAUACCGAAGAAUGUUAUCACGGGAGACACACGGCGGGUGCUAACGUCCGUCGUGAAGAGGGAAACAACCCAGACCGCCAGCUAAGGUCCCAAAGUCAUGGUUAAGUGGGAAACGAUGUGGGAAGGCACAGACAGCCAGGAUGUUGGCUUAGAAGCAGCCAUCAUUUAAAGAAAGCGUAAUAGCUCACUGGUCGAGUCGGCCUGCGCGGAAGAUGUAACGGGGCUAAACCAUGCACCGAAGCUGCGGCAGCGACACUAUGUGUUGUUGGGUAGGGGAGCGUUCUGUAAGCCUGCGAAGGUGUGCUGUGAGGCAUGCUGGAGGUAUCAGAAGUGCGAAUGCUGACAUAAGUAACGAUAAAGCGGGUGAAAAGCCCGCUCGCCGGAAGACCAAGGGUUCCUGUCCAACGUUAAUCGGGGCAGGGUGAGUCGACCCCUAAGGCGAGGCCGAAAGGCGUAGUCGAUGGGAAACAGGUUAAUAUUCCUGUACUUGGUGUUACUGCGAAGGGGGGACG